GAUGGUAUUGAUAGAAUCAUGAAUGAACCUCUUACCAUUCCGAACAGAGAAGUUAAACAUGAUUUCGCCGAUGGUACUGUGAAAACGGAAGAGUAGGUAAUGCCAACG
Molecule: ribosomal RNA, 108 nt
Filed under: Muribaculaceae bacterium S4
Lineage: Bacteria; Pseudomonadati; Bacteroidota; Bacteroidia; Bacteroidales; Muribaculaceae
Also listed under: 5 other names
Source: RNAcentral